UCUCCGUUGGUGAACCAGCGGAGGGAUCAUUACUGAGUUACCGCUCUACAACCCUUUGUGAACAUACCUAACUGUUGCUUCGGCGGGCAGAGGUCCCUCGCGGAUCUCUCCCGGCAACGCCCUCACGGGCGGAGCGCCCGCCGGAGGAUACCAAACUCUAUUUUAACGACGUUUCUUCUGAGUGGCACAGGCAAAUAAUUAAAACUUUUAACAACGGAUCUCUUGGUUCUG
Molecule: unclassified non-coding RNA, 231 nt
Filed under: plant metagenome
Description: partial contains small subunit ribosomal RNA, internal transcribed spacer 1, and 5.8S ribosomal RNA
Source: RNAcentral